Molecule: non-coding RNA, 6895 nt
Organism: Podarcis lilfordi (Lilford's wall lizard)
Lineage: Eukaryota; Metazoa; Chordata; Lepidosauria; Squamata; Lacertidae
Source: the annotation of a GenBank genome assembly
GUUGCCAGAGCGAGGAAGGGAGAGGAAGAGUGAAGGAUCGAUGAAUCUGAAAAGGGGAAGGGGCCAGAGGCAGGCCAGGGAGGGGGGCGGCUUGGGGGCGAAGUGACCGAGCAGGAGAAGGAGGGGGGCAGAAAACGCGGAGAAGAGACAGUCUCUGCGUCCAGUUCAAGCUCUCUGCCUGCCAGAUCAACCCCCAAGUUUUGCUCCUGCUUUCCCGGGAAAACAAGACUGCCCGGGACCACCAACAGAGGUGCAGAGAGUCCAGGAGGGAGGUGGAAAGUGGGGAGGGGGAAAUCUCUCUUUGCAAGCCCUUCUUGGGGUCCCCCCAAAAAUCUGCAGCCCGGCCACGCGCUCCGUCCUGGAAGAGGCUGGAAGAGGAGGAGCGGCAGCAACAACAGACUUGGAUAAGACACCACUACCCCACUCCCUCUGCAGAGAGAAACAGAGAGAGAAAUCCAUCGGGUUGGGGAAGGCAGGAGAGCUACACCAGGAGAACUUCCACCUGUUUCCAGGGGCUCAGGUGAGUCUUUUGUUUCGCUUGCCUCUGCAGCUUUAGCCCGGGGUGCUAGCAUAGGAAGACUUCAAGGCAGGGGACACUGCAGACAUUCCCCCACCUCCCAAAAAAGUCAUAACUUUGGAAGUACAGGGGUACCUCUGGUUACGUACUUAAUUCGUUCCAGAGGUCCGUUCUUAACCUGAAACUGUUCUUAACCUGAAGCACCACUUUAGCUAAUGGAGCCUCCUGCUGCUGCCACACGAUUUCUGUUCUCAUCCUGAAGCAAAGUUCUUAACCCGAGGUACUAUUUCUGGGUUAGCGGAAUCCGUAACCUGAAGCGUCUGUAACCCGAGGUACCACUAUAAAGGAAUGGAACUUCCCUCCUCACUGACAUCCCCCUUCCGUUUACUUGCAUUCAGGAAAGUUGUCAAGUCAUUAUUAUUCUGAGCUGGUAUUUCAGUUGGGGUGUGGUGCAAUGUACCUUCAUGAAGAUUUCACGCUGUGUUUCCUAGCUGCUGCCUGAGAGACAGAGUUUUGUUUUUAAAGCUGCUCUUUACGAAACUCACGUUAUUGUUGCGACGAGGAAGGGCAGGUGGGAAGUUUGACGUGAUAAUUGUGUGACUAUAUAACCGUCUGAAGAAAGGAAGCGAGGGGGGAAUAUCGGACCUUAAAUGUCCAGAUUCUAAACUGAUCUCACCAAAUCUCUGUAUCUGUAUCUCCCUCCCUUCCUGCCAUGGGCAUCUAUCUAUCUGCUCCAAAGUCCUCUGCCCACAUUUCUUCGCUUGUCCCCAUAUUCCAUUUCUAAAUUCCGCCUGCCUGUCACUCAACCGCUCUGCUUGACUUGCUCUUCCAUCCACGCGUCCAACUCUUUUAUCCUUAGCCAUCCCUCGUUGGACGGCUCCGAUUCUCUGCCCAUCGCUCCACCAGUCCGCUAAGUCGGACUGCCGUCGAAUGCGCUCCUGUCCAGGGGCGGUUCUGAGUAGGAUUGCAGUCCUGGGGAUGGCAAUUAAAUUCCGUUUGCAUUCCGACGAGGAGCUACCCAGUUCGCGCUUCUCAAAACCCGGUUAGUCUUUGAAAUUUGCACCCCUGCAAAUUUCAAAAGACCCGGUUCUUCAGCGGAACAAUGCGCACCGAAAUGCACUUGUGCGUUCCCAAAAAUGCAUGCGUCCGUGAAGCUGCCGUACAGAUGGAAACAUAUGGGGAAUUUGCUUGUGAAUCAAAACUGCAUGCAGAAAUGUGUGUCUCAGGAGAAAUUCUCCCUCAAGCAGUGGCAAAUUUUUCACAAGGAUUGAAAUGCGGAAUUUAAGACGUGAAAUGAGCAAAAUGGGACUGAUUUGUCACUCCCUAGACCAGGCUUCCUGGGGUCUUUAAUCCUAAGCUUUGCUCUGUGGUGUUGGUAAUUCCUACAGAGCCAAUCUGUUAUUCUCUCUGCCACUCGUCUAGGUCUGGAGCUAUCGACAGAAAUGUCCAUUUCCCUGUUCUCCCACUUCAGUGUCGACAUCCUUGUCUGAGAUUAACUUUCCUUUCCUGACCCCCUUUCAAAAUCUAAGCUUGUGUCUCUUUCCACCUUGGAGACACGCUAUUCCUCUCUUGACAGCCUUCCUGAAUUUUCCCGCCUUCUGCUUCCCCAAAAUUUUGACUCUUCCUCUUCAUCCAUCUAUGUUCCUUCCGCUAGAUCACCUGCACAUUUAAAAAGACAGGCGUCCAUCUGUCCGUCCUACAGCCAAGACUUUACUUGCCUCUGCUGUUUUUCUGAACUCGGCUCUUCAUUCCAAACCGAUGGCCGGCAGGUUAGUAGACUUUCAUUUUUAACUAAGCAAAAAAAGAAAAAAAUCAAUUGUGGUUUUAUUUGUUUACCCGCUUGAUUUAAAUUUGGGGCAAGGAAAAGGUGGCUGAGGUCAACCCUGUGGUUGAGAAAAGCGCAGGGUGAUUGUGGUUUGUUUUGCAGUUCAGGGAGAACACUCUGCAGAUGCUCAGAGGCACAGUCUUCUGAGGAGUCAGACCAAAAUGAUAUCCAGGGCCGAAUUCGCCCCAUCAGCAAUGGUGGUGGUUGCCACUGUGGAGUGUUUUAACUUUAUGUCAAAGUUUUUAAAACUGGGUUGCGGGGAGAGAAGGGGGCUCCGUUCAUGUCUUGCGAUGACAUCGUGGUUUGGAAAUAGUUUGGGUGCGAUCCAGCAGUGGCUCAGGACAAUUUAAGUCCUGUUGGCUUCAGAGGGCGAGUCAAAUCUUUCCGAUUUAAAUCAAUGAGACUUUCUUCUUUCUUUUCUUCUGUCCUCCCCACCCCCUUGUUCCCUGUGCCUCUGCAUUUUGAAUAAUUUUGGCUUCGGACCACCCACGACAGAGAAUGCUUAAAAAAGAGAGAAAAAUGUGGGGAAGGAGUUCAGUGUGGCAAAUGAACGGUGACGGCGGGCUUGUAAUGUAGGUAGUCGUAUCGCAUGCAGAUCUUCCCAAACCGAGCUGCCCUUUUAGGGAGAGAGGAAAUGGCCUUAUUUAUUUAUUUUAUUUUGCAGAGAAUCAGGCCCUACCUAGAACUCAAUAUUACCAAUACUAUCUCCAAGGUUUCAGGCAGAGAGUUGUCACCUGGAGAUUCCGGGAACAGAACUUGCGAACUUUUCGCGAGCGAAUUGUGCACUCCGCACAACUGAGUUUUCUAUUUUUUCAAAAGCCACCUUUUUAUAGCGCCUUGUCAAAGGGUGUGCUUUCGUUACCAUUGUCUCUCCUCUGAUCGCCAGAGGUUAGUAACCUGAUAGGGGAGAGAAUGACAUUCCUCAGAGCUUUGGAAAGCCUAAAGCAGCUGAUUUUAAUAUGUGUGUGAGAGAGGGGGUGCGUCCUCUCUCCCCCCCCCAAGUACUUUUCCAUCCAAGCCUGAGAAAGUAGGUGGAGACGUUUGCGUACAGUACUUGCAUUCUUAUAUAAGAAUCCAAGAACUGCUGGAUCGCUGGUGUUCGCUGAGCCCAGAACGAGGCUUCGGGUGAUGGUCAGCCGGACGAUUCCAAGACUCUCACAAGCAAAGCAGGAAAACAGCUCCCUUCCCUCGUAGUCUUUCCUCCUCCUGUUGCCCAGUGCUGCAGAGGUAGACUGCCACUGCACUUGGAGGUUUCACUCAUCUAUCGAUUCUUUAAAGGGCCGGAUAAAAAGCCCUCUAAUAAAGAGCUGGGUGAACCUGUCACUUUAUCUCGGCUUCACAUUCCCCUCCCUGCCAGCCUUUCUUAAGUUUCUUUUGAACCAUUUCCAGCAUCAGUUUGCAAACCGUUUUUAAAAUAAAAUAUUCUUAUUUGCAACGGAUUUCUUUUUAAAGCCAGUGAGAAAGCUUUCCGAUCUUUUCGCAUUUGUGUCUCCAGCGGCUGCCCCUAGGUUGGGGACCUGAAAUCUCAGGUUCUGGGAUACACCUGACUUUCUGGGCCCAAUCCAGCCGAGCAAAGAGGAAACGUGUCUGCUUGCAUUGAACCGCUUCCUGUUGUCAAAGGCCCCAUUAUUAACUAUCCCUUUUUCAGAGCUGGAGGGGAGCACACACACACACACACACAAACAAAUAUUUGGCAUUCUUUUCAUCCAAUGGCUCUGUGGAAGAAAGCGACGGGGUUUGUGCUUGUGAGAAAGACUGUUUACCACCAGCAAUAUCAUGUUAACAAGGUCUUGGGGCCGACCCAGCUGGCUUAAAGUGAUUGCAUAGUGCAAUUUCCAUGCGUGUUUACUCAAAAGUCAGCCCUACCGAAUUCAGCAAGUCCUAAGGGAGCAGGCCACUCACUGGUCACUAAUUGAGCCAAAAUUGCGGUUUUACUCCUGAUGUGUAAAGCCAUAAAGGCUAGAGGUGGAGGCAUGGUUCUGAAUGGGUGUGGCCAAAGACAGGGGCAGUUCUAAAUGGGUGUGGCCAAAGACAGGGGCAGUUCUAAAUGGGUGUGGCCAAAGACAGGGGAAGUUCUAAUGGGUGUGGCCAAAGACACGGGCAGUUCUAAAUGGGUGUGGCCAAAGUCAAAGGAGGGGUUCUGAACAAGCAUGGUCAAAGUCUGAGAGAUGGUUCUGAAUUUAGUUUAUUUUCUGUUUAUUAAAUUUCUAUACUGCCCUUCAUCCGAAAAUCAGUGGGCGGUUUACAAUAUGAAAACGCAAAAAUAUAUACAGUAUGUCAUAAUAACAAAUGAAAAGAAUACAGUUUAAAGGCUAGAGAUUGUUUGCCAAAGGCUUGGGAGAAGAGGAAUGUUUUUCCCUGGCACCUAAGUAAUGAAGGCAUCAGGUGCGCCUUCCUCGGAAGAGCAUUUCACAAGUGGGGAGCCACUGCAGAAAAGGCCCUGCUGUUGCCCUCCAGGCCUCUUGUGGAGAAGGCACACAAAGAAGGACCUCAGAAGAUCUGGGUCUGGGUUGGUUAUAUAUGGGGAGAGGCAGUCCUUGAAGUAUUGUGUGGGGUGUUUCAAUAGCUGAGCUUUUUUUAGGGAAUCCCCAAAGUUGUUGAGCUUUUCUUACAAAAAGCGCCGCUUUCCAGAAAUUCCCAAUGGAUGUCAAUUCUGCCUUUGAAAUCUCAUAUGCCAACCCUAGUACUGGGGUCCGGAGCCUCAUAAGAGGUCAAAACCAUCACUUUGAAUUGGGCCCAGAAACUAAUUGGCAGCCAGUGCAGUCAAACCAGGAUCGGUGCAAUAUGCUCAAACCAUCUUGCCCUGGUGAGCAACCGAAUUCUGCACCCGCUGAAGUUUCCGAACCGUCCUCAGGGGCAGCCCCACGUAAAACGUCUUGCAGUAAUCUAGCCUAGGGAUUACCAGAACAUAGACAACAGAAUGGGUCUGGCCCAAGACAGAGGGAUGGUUCUGUAUGAGAUGGAGGGGCAGGGUCUUGUGGAUUCUGAAGGCCUUCCUUCACCUACCUGCCCCUUCCCAUCUCGUUAUGCAAACGAGAUCAAGCCGGUGAUUUUCCACGAUGAUUCCCGCCACUCUGGAAUUCCCUUCUGAGGGAGGGCCUCCCAGAUUGAUCCUUCCCAGCGUCGCCCCGUCCGCCAAGCUCCUACUUAUAUCAAAAGCCUUUUGUCUGCCUGUCUUGUGUGUGUUUUGUUUUAAAGGAGAAUAGAAAAUCUUUCACGGGUAUCUGUGGCUUUGUGGCUUGGCGGGAGAUCACUCGAGAACCUUGCACUGUGGCGGCGAAUUCCUUGAGCUCUGAGGGCGUUUCGGGAUUAGAUGUUUUAGCAGUUCCAGGCUUUUUGUAUAUAAUUGCAGCAUAUAUGUUUGGCUGUGGGAUUUUGCCCAGAGAGAAGCUUUGGCUGCAAUGCUGGAGUCUACAAUGCACGUAGAAAAGUGAUAUAUCAACACUGAGAAAAGGGUCCAAGACCAACAUUCCUUAUGUGUGUUUGUUUCUCCGCUUAACAUUGCUGAAGUUAAGGAUGACUCUCUCAGUUUUUAAGCAGUGCAGGCCGUGGUUGUUCUAGAAAUAUAGCCCUUGAAUCUUUGGCAACAUGCUCACCACACGGAAAUCCUGGGAACUCUAGUUUGUUGCUGGGAAUUGUAGCGCAGUGAGGGGUCAACUACAGCUAUCUGGAUUCUUUGGGGAAGCCAUAUGCUUUAAAUGCAAGUUGUGCGGACAUAGCGUUUGUUAUGUUGAACAGUUCCAUAGUACGUAUAUAUUUCUAUCCUUUGCUUUGAAUCACACACAGGCCACCACACACCCUCCUUUUGCAGACUGGUUAUGGAGGUGUGUUUUUGAUGUCACAGAUCCUUGCCAAUAGGUCCUCAUCACAGCUGUAACACAAACGUGGCAUAAAAGGAAUCUGCUUUUCAACGAAAAAUCUGGUUGAAUUUUCAUAGGGAACAGUGGCGAACCACAAGCCUGAGGGUCUCUCCUUUGCACGAGUCCUUCAGAGGCGACUUGCUGCUGUCCCUGAACUGUGGCUAGAAUCAUUGAGCUAUUGCUCAUGUCAAAAACCAAAUAUUGCCAGAGAUUCCCUUGAAACUCCCUGUAUUUGCACUAGAGGUUGCUAAUUUUGCAGAGGCAAACAUGGCCCUUCUAGAUUGAUGUCUGUGCUGAAAAACCUAUCCACUGGUUUGUGCAGCCUGAUUGCUACUUCAGGAAUUGGUGGACUAGCACUCUGCACAUGCAUAGAGGAACCAACCAAUAUAACAGCUCAGGACCGAGUCCUGGCACAGGUUCUGGGGCCAAAUCCUGAAGUCAUUCAUCCCUGCACCGUAGAUAUAGUGACGGUGAAGACAGAGAAAUGAUAUAAGGGAUGAUUUGCUUGCCUGAUGCACAGUUUGGAGAAUCAGAAACGAGUUAUGGGCCUCCAAACCAGCAGUAUUUUUCAAAUUCAUUUAUGGAAUUACUUCCGGCAUUAUCCGCAAUCCACCUUUCCACCGCCCGGUAGUAGCUGAGCAGUUUGUCACGGUUUGCAAGCGGCGUGCUGUCUCUUCCAGCACAACUGUUGGC